Molecule: ribosomal RNA, 579 nt
Filed under: uncultured Alphaproteobacteria bacterium
Lineage: Bacteria; Pseudomonadati; Pseudomonadota; Alphaproteobacteria
Description: partial 16S ribosomal RNA
Source: RNAcentral
CUCGGAAUUCCACUCACCUCUCUCGAACUCAAGACUAACAGUAUCAAAGGCAGUUCCGAGGUUGAGCCUCGGGAUUUCACCCCUGACUUAUUAAUCCGCCCACGUGCGCUUUACGCCCAGUAAUUCCGAACAACGCUAACCCCCUCCGUAUUACCGCGGCUGCGGCACGGAGUUAGCCGGGGUUUCUUUACCAGGUACCGUCAUUAUCUUCCCUGGCGAAAGAGCUUUACAACCCUAGGGCCUUCAUCACUCACGCGGCAUGGCUGGAUCAGGCUUUCGCCCAUUGUCCAAGAUUCCCUACUGCUGCCUUCCGUAGAAGUCUGGGCCGUGUCUCAGUCCCAGUGUUGCUGAUCAUCCUCUCAAACCAGCUAUAGAUCGUCGGCUUGGUAGGCCAUUACCCUACCAACUACCUAAUCUAACGCGGGCCGAUCCUUUAGCGAUAAAUCUUUCCCCCUUGGGGCGUAUACGGUAUUAAUCAUCGUUUCCAAUGGCUAUUCCGUACUAAAGGGUACGUUCCCACGCGUUACUAACCCGUUCGCCGCUGUCCCGAAGGACCGCUCGACUUGCAUGUAUGAGGCC